Molecule: ribosomal RNA, 434 nt
Filed under: uncultured Lachnospiraceae bacterium
Lineage: Bacteria; Bacillati; Bacillota; Clostridia; Lachnospirales; Lachnospiraceae
Description: bacterial SSU rRNA
Rfam family: Bacterial small subunit ribosomal RNA
Source: RNAcentral
ACGGGAGGCAGCAGUGGGGAAUAUUGCACAAUGGGGGAAACCCUGAUGCAGCGACGCCGCGUGAGCGAAGAAGUAUUUCGGUAUGUAAAGCUCUAUCAGCAGGGAAGAAAAUGACGGUACCUGACUAAGAAGCCCCGGCUAACUACGUGCCAGCAGCCGCGGUAAUACGUAGGGGGCAAGCGUUAUCCGGAUUUACUGGGUGUAAAGGGAGCGUAGACGGCAAUGCAAGUCUGAAGUGAAAUCCCGCGGCUCAACUGCGGAGCUGCUUUGGAAACUGCAUAGCUGGAGUGUCGGAGAGGUGAGUGGAAUUCCCAGUGUAGCGGUGAAAUGCGUAGAUAUUGGGAGGAACACCGGAGGCGAAGGCGGCUCACUGGACGAUAACUGACGUUGAGGCUCGAAAGCGUGGGGAGCAAACAGGAUUAGAUACCCUGGUA